AACGGAGGGAGCGAGUGUUACUCAUCGUAACUGGGUGUAAAACGUCUGUAGAUGGUUUAUCAAGUUUUUUAUCUAAAUUCGUUUGAAAGGCGUAUAUUUAUUAAUACUGUUAGACUGGAGUUUAGUGGAUUGUGGCGGUGCCUUGUGUGUAAAAGUGAAAUUUGUAAAAACCCAAGGAACGAACAUUUGGUGAAAACAGCUACUAAUACUAAACUGACAUUGAGAGACGAAAGUAUAGGGAGCGAACGGG
This 250-nucleotide ribosomal RNA is filed under the name uncultured bacterium. RNAcentral's name for it is "partial 16S ribosomal RNA". It matches the Rfam family "Bacterial small subunit ribosomal RNA", at positions 524 to 776 of the family's 1533-position model. The record is from RNAcentral.